UACGGGGGGGGCAAGCGUUGUUCGGAAUUACUGGGCGUAAAGAGCUUGUAGGCGGUUUGUCGCGUCUGCUGUGAAAAUCCGGGGCUCAACCCCGGACUUGCAGUGGGUACGGGCAGACUAGAGUGUGGUAGGGGAGACUGGAAUUCCUGGUGUAGCGGUGAAAUGCGCAGAUAUCAGGAGGAACACCGAUGGCGAAGGCAGGUCUCUGGGCCACUACUGACGCUGAGAAGCGAAAGCAUGGGGAGCGAACAGG
This 253-nucleotide ribosomal RNA is filed under the name uncultured bacterium. RNAcentral describes it as "partial 16S ribosomal RNA". It matches the Rfam family "Bacterial small subunit ribosomal RNA", at positions 524 to 776 of the family's 1533-position model. The record is from RNAcentral.